This 207-nucleotide ribosomal RNA is filed under the name uncultured bacterium. RNAcentral describes it as "partial 16S ribosomal RNA". It matches the Rfam family "Bacterial small subunit ribosomal RNA", at positions 568 to 774 of the family's 1533-position model. The record is from RNAcentral.
CUCGUAGGCGGUUCGUCGCGUCCGGUGUGAAAGUCCAUCACUUAACGGUGGAUCCGCGCCGGGUACGGGCGGGCUUGAGUGCGGUAGGGGAGACUGGAAUUCCCGGUGUAACGGUGGAAUGUGUAGAUAUCGGGAAGAACACCAAUGGCGAAGGCAGGUCUCUGGGCCGUUACUGACGCUGAGGAGCGAAAGCGUGGGGAGCGAACA